This 241-nucleotide ribosomal RNA is filed under the name uncultured Actinomycetales bacterium. RNAcentral describes it as "partial 16S ribosomal RNA". It matches the Rfam family "Bacterial small subunit ribosomal RNA", at positions 89 to 334 of the family's 1533-position model. The record is from RNAcentral. Lineage: Bacteria; Bacillati; Actinomycetota; Actinomycetes; Actinomycetales.
ACUCGAGUGGCGAACGGGUGAGUAACACGUGGGUGAUCUGCCCUGCACUUCGGGAUAAGCUUGGGAAACUGGGUCCAAUACCGGAUAGGAGCCAUCUUUAGUGUGGUGGUUGGAAAGUUUUUCGGUGUAGGAUGAGCUCGCGGCCUAUCAGCUUGUUGGUGGGGUAAUGGCCUACCAAGGCGGCGACGGGUAGCCGGCCUGAGAGGGUGUACGGCCACAUUGGGACUGAGAUACGGCCCAG